This is a non-coding RNA of Mycena metata, 89 nucleotides long. The record is from the annotation of a GenBank genome assembly. NCBI's taxonomy places the organism in Eukaryota, Fungi, Basidiomycota, Agaricomycetes, Agaricales, Mycenaceae.
UCGGACAUGGUGUACGGUACACACCCUUGUCUCUUGUGGGAACCACACAGAUCAGGAGCGAAUCCGGGGUUCGACUCCCUGUGUCCGAA